UUCUCCUCCUUCUGCCAAUCCCUCCCAGCAUCAGUCUUUUCCAAUGAGUCAACUCUUCGCAUGAGGUGGCCAAAGUACUGGAGUUUCAGCUUUAGCAUCAUUCCUGGUUUCCUUUAGGUUUUAUUCAUUAGGGAAAACAAUAUCAUUCUUGGGAUACUGUUUACCAUUCAAGUUCUUAGAUUCCAGCCAAACGUCAAUCUUGCAAAUAGACCUUUUUAGAGAUGGUAGCGACAGGUCUGCUAUGAUAACUCAAUUUUGCACACGAACUGAAUCUCGCAUAUUUCUAAAUCUAUAUAAUCUUUGAAAAUUUUGUUUUCAUGACUACUAUAGAGCAGGUUUAGGCUUGAAAAUAACUGAGGAGCAAAAUAUAGGUGUUAUAGAAGUUUAAAAAAUAUUAAUAUAUUUGCUGCCCCUUUGGAAGCUUAUCUCCCUUUAAAUAUAUGAAAUGCUAAGUCAAUUCAGUUAUGUCUGACUCUAUGCGACCCCAUAGAUGACAGCCCACCAGGCUCCCCCAUUCCUGGGAUUCUCCAGGCAAGAACACUGGAGUGGGUUGCCAUUUCCUUCUCCAUAUAUGAAAUGAGUAAUCCUCUAAUUAAACUUAUUGGGAGAUUGCACAAAAGAAAAUAAAGUUUAUUAAUGGACAUAUAAGGCACAGCUAUGGAAUAUGUGGGGUGCAGGACAAAUGGAGAGCAGGGGGCAGAGUGCUGCCAGAAGUGACACUUAGUGAGGACCCAGAUGAGAGUUUGUAGAAAUGAUGCUGGCAUCCAUUAAUGAGGAGUAACAGCAGCUGAACAUACCAGGGCCAAAGUCACAAAGCUCAAUGACUUAACACACAAAACAAACAAGCAAAGAAAAGAAGCCCCACAGAACGAAUCUGAUUGAAAGAUGAAACAAGGAGGUUUCUGGGUUAUCGAACAGGGUUUUGAUAUCCUGGAUGCUAGUUUCAGAGCUUGUAGUGUGUUCUUUUUCUUUGGAUGAACCUUGAAAAUAUUGAUAUAUCUAAGAUAAAAAACAUUUUUCAUGUACAUACACAGCUAAUUGCAGCAGGCAGUAGUUAAGAAAAAAUUGAAUCAGAUGCCUAGAGGAGACCAAAGAACACACCUUUGCCUGAAAAUAUCCACAGAUGUCAGUAUCAACAAAUGAGAAAGAAAAGCAACACAUACACAUUCUUGAUCUUAAAAAAAAAAUUCUGGCAUCUUUGAUUGUCUUUUAUUUAUCAGUGUCAUAAAAAAGAUACAAUUUUUUUGUCAGUUCAAUGCAAUCAUGUUUAUUGUCUAUUUUUUUUCAUAGGAAAUAUGGAAGGUAGUUAACCCUACUUGUGAUUAACAGCAUGGAUUUUGGAGUCAGAGAGAUCUUAUUUGAAAGCUUAUCACUCACUAUGCUAACACAGUGAAUAUUGAGUACCAGCACAUCUCCUCUGUACCUCAGUGUGAUUAUCUUGAAGUGAGAAUUAUGCUGAAAAUUAAAUAAGGCGUUGCCUCAGGAAUUAUGCAAGAUUCUAUAUCAUUGAAGGAGGAAACAGACAGAACAGGCUCUAUCUUGAAAGCAGGACUCCAUCUCGGGCCGGACUGUGGACUUUGAACUAUAUGCCCAGUUUCUAUGGGAAUGAUAUACCAACUGGAAAAACAGACCCCUGAUGGAAGAGCCCCAGGGCUCAUACCUAGACUCUCCGUUGCCAGAAUACCCUAACUAUCUCUGUAACCGAAUAGAAUCAUAAAUCCUAUUAUGCUUAUUGGGGUAUGACCACAGGCCUAUUGAUAAUUGUCCACUGUUAACUACUGAGGCUAAAGGCAUAUGAAUCACAGGUUAACUUUGAUUGCAUCUUUCUUUUCCUUUGUUCAGACUAGUUUCAGGGAAUUUGGGGAGGUGGGUUUGGGCACGUACACUUAGGGUAUAUAUAAGAUUUUCACAAAAACUGGUUGGAAUCCUUGGCUAGGAGGACACUCUGCCUUGGGCCCACUGGCAUAAUAAACUGCACUCCACUUAAAAAAAAAAUAAAGAAUAUCUGAUUCCACCAUUAUACCAACUUUUAAUAGUGGCUUUACAUAAGUGGUGUUUUAAAUGUAAUGAAAUUGAUAUAAAAUGUCCUGAACAAGCUGAGAAACUAAGUUGAAUUUCAAAGGCAAAGAAUUUGUUUUAAUCUGUCAAUAGCACAGUUAACUAAUUUAGUUAAUUUUGAUUGUGAGAUUAAGUGCAUUUCUUAUUUCAUUGGUUUAAACCAGUCAUUCCCAAAGCCCUAUAUUUAUUUAAACAGAAACAAGACACAUGCAUGUGCAUGCACAAACACACACAGACACAUAACCUCUGAGACUGACAGAAGGUUUUCUAUUAUUUUGUUAUGUCAAAUAAAAAUGUUAUGUUAGCAUUAAAUAAAGCCAUUUUUAAAAUAA
Bubalus bubalis (water buffalo) is the source of this 2390-nucleotide long non-coding RNA. RefSeq lists it as uncharacterized. The transcript has 2 exons. The record is from RefSeq and is a predicted model, not a curated record. Lineage: Eukaryota; Metazoa; Chordata; Mammalia; Artiodactyla; Bovidae.